GAUGAACGCUAGCGGUAGGCCUAACACAUGCAAGUCGAACGGUAACAUAAAGAGCUUGCUCUUUGAUGACGAGUGGCGAACGGGUGCGUAACACGUAUGCAACUUACCCUUCACAGGGGGAUAGCCCAGAGAAAUUUGGAUUAAUACCCCAUAUUAUCAUUAUAUCGCAUGAUUAAAUGAUGAAAACUCCGGUGGUGAAGGAUAGGCAUGCGGCCCAUUAGUUAGUUGGUGAGGUAACGGCUCACCAAGACCACGAUGGGUAGGGGUCUGAGAGGAUGAUCCCCCACACUGGUACUGAGACACGGACCAGACUCCUACGGAGCAGCAGUGAGGAAUAUUGGUCAAUGGACGAAAGUCUGAACCAGCCAUACCG
This 373-nucleotide ribosomal RNA is filed under the name uncultured bacterium. RNAcentral describes it as "bacterial SSU rRNA". It matches the Rfam family "Bacterial small subunit ribosomal RNA", at positions 28 to 399 of the family's 1533-position model. The record is from RNAcentral.